Molecule: transfer RNA, 73 nt
Filed under: Candidatus Kaiserbacteria bacterium RIFCSPHIGHO2_12_FULL_53_13
Lineage: Bacteria; Candidatus Kaiseribacteriota
Also listed under: 2 other names
Description: tRNA-Phe
Rfam family: tRNA
About the family: Transfer RNA (tRNA) molecules are approximately 80 nucleotides in length. Their secondary structure includes four short double-helical elements and three loops (D, anti-codon, and T loops).
Source: RNAcentral
GCCUGGGUAGCUCAGUUGGUAGAGCAUUCGCCUGAAGAGCGAAGGGUCCCCAGUUCGAUCCUGGGCCCAGGCA